Molecule: transfer RNA, 83 nt
Filed under: Danio rerio (zebrafish)
Lineage: Eukaryota; Metazoa; Chordata; Actinopteri; Cypriniformes; Danionidae
Rfam family: tRNA
About the family: Transfer RNA (tRNA) molecules are approximately 80 nucleotides in length. Their secondary structure includes four short double-helical elements and three loops (D, anti-codon, and T loops).
Source: Rfam by way of RNAcentral
ACCAGGAUGGCUGAGUGGUUAAGGCGUUGGACUUAAGAUCCAACAGACUAAUGUCCUCGAGGGUUUGAACCCCACUCCUGGUA